CUCUCCACAAAGUUCUCUAUGAAAAUGAGAAUCUUGAUGAUGCUGCAUCGGCAAUCAACGACUAUUCUUUCCCUCUCUCUCUCUCUCCCUCUGUAUAGAUUAUUUGGAUUCCAUCCAGAUCUUCUUCAGGUAGGUUUGUUUCUACUUGAAGUUUUUUUUUUUCACCUUUAUGUUAACAUAUCCUCCCGUUUAUUUUUAUUUGUUAUACAUAAAGAUCUGACAAAGAACUUUUGUGGGUAUCUUGUUUCAUGUGAUAACAUUGAGCAUUUGAUCUCAGGUUUUUGGCAGUCUUUAUCAAGACAUUAAUAGAUCCACAAGCUUCUAUUUCAAUAAGUGAGCAAGAGUCACAACAUCAAGAUCAGUAAGGUAAGAGAGAUCUACUUAAGGUAACUAAUAUAUAUGCCUUAUUUCUUAUGUUGCCAAUCCCACCUUGCAUUUCCAAAACAACACAAUAUAGUUUUGUUUUGUUAGAAACAAAAAAGGAUAUUAUAUAUGGAAGUUGAGAUAAUAUAUAUAACAGGUCUAUAUGGAACUAUUGUUGUCUAGCAAAGAAAAGGUUUUCAAGACACACUGUCAGUUCUUUGUUUUGUUGGUUCAUGUUGGCUAUUACAUUCAAAUUGAGAAUCAAUCAAGAACUUGUUGGGUGGACCUUACACACAUUGUAGGCUAGGCAUAUUCAGUCCAACCUAUUUGUGUCCCCUCUAUUUACAUAUUUGGAUUUCGUCCUUAUAACUGAUAUUGAAACAAUGAAGAAUAUAUACUCUCUUUUUCUCUUUAUUCUGUUAUAAGGGAACAAUAAAUCUAUAGCAUCAUAUAUACUCAGACUGUGAACAAAACCUAUUCACAGUUAUGAGUUUCAUGUUUUGUUUAUGAGCACAACCUCCCAAACUUGUUUCCAAAACAAAUUCUAUAAAUAUUAGUAUUAUUUUUGGUUA
RNAcentral lists this non-coding RNA (935 nucleotides) under Arabidopsis thaliana (thale cress). Lineage: Eukaryota; Viridiplantae; Streptophyta; Magnoliopsida; Brassicales; Brassicaceae. The record is from RNAcentral.